UACAGAGGGUGCAGGCGUUAAUCGGAUUUACUGGGCGUAAAGCGCGCGUAGGCGGCUAAUUAAGUCAAAUGUGAAAUCCCCGAGCUUAACUUGGGAAUUGCAUUCGAUACUGGUUAGCUAGAGUGUGGGAGAGGAUGGUAGAAUUCCAGGUGUAGCGGUGAAAUGCGUAGAGAUCUGGAGGAAUACCGAUGGCGAAGGCAGCCAUCUGGCCUAACACUGACGCUGAGGUGCGAAAGCAUGGGGAGCAAACGGG
RNAcentral lists this ribosomal RNA (253 nucleotides) under uncultured prokaryote. RNAcentral describes it as "partial 16S ribosomal RNA". It matches the Rfam family "Bacterial small subunit ribosomal RNA", at positions 524 to 776 of the family's 1533-position model. The record is from RNAcentral.